Molecule: ribosomal RNA, 273 nt
Filed under: uncultured bacterium
Lineage: Bacteria
Description: partial 16S ribosomal RNA
Rfam family: Bacterial small subunit ribosomal RNA
Source: RNAcentral
CUUCCGCCGGCGACCGGCGCACGGGUGAGUAACACGUAUGCAACCUGCCCCUGUCAGGGGGACAACCCGCCGAAAGGCGGGCUAAACCCGCGUACAUGCCACCGGGGCAUCCCGGAGGCAGGAAAGGCUUCGGCCGGACAGGGAUGGGCAUGCGGCGCAUUAGGCAGUAGGCGGGGUAACGGCCCACCUAACCGACGAUGCGUAGGGGUUCUGAGAGGAAGGUCCCCCACACUGGUACUGAGACACGGACCAGACUCCUACGGGAGGCAGCAG